UACGGAGGGUGCAAGCGUUAUCCGGAUUCACUGGGUUUAAAGGGUGCGUAGGCGGCGCGGAAAGUAGGGUGUGAAAUCCCUCGGCUCAACCGAGGAACUGCGCUCUAAACUACCGUGCUCGAGGGAGAUAGAGGUAAGCGGAACUUAGGGUGGAGCGGUGAAAUGCGUUGAUAUCCUAAGGAACACCGGUGGCGAAAGCGGCUUACUGGAUCUCUUCUGACGCUGAGGCACGAAAGCUAGGGUAGCGAACGGG
Molecule: ribosomal RNA, 253 nt
Filed under: uncultured bacterium
Lineage: Bacteria
Description: partial 16S ribosomal RNA
Rfam family: Bacterial small subunit ribosomal RNA
Source: RNAcentral